RNAcentral lists this transfer RNA (68 nucleotides) under Marmota marmota marmota (Alpine marmot). It matches the Rfam family "tRNA". From Rfam's summary of the family: Transfer RNA (tRNA) molecules are approximately 80 nucleotides in length. Their secondary structure includes four short double-helical elements and three loops (D, anti-codon, and T loops). Further hydrogen bonds mediate the characteristic L-shaped molecular structure. tRNAs have two regions of fundamental functional importance: the anti-codon, which is responsible for specific mRNA codon recognition, and the 3' end, to which the tRNAs corresponding amino acid is attached (by aminoacyl-tRNA synthetases). tRNAs cope with the degeneracy of the genetic code in two manners: having more than one tRNA (with a specific anti-codon) for a particular amino acid; and 'wobble' base-pairing, i.e. permitting non-standard base-pairing at the 3rd anti-codon position. RNAcentral also lists the same sequence under 1 other name. Lineage: Eukaryota; Metazoa; Chordata; Mammalia; Rodentia; Sciuridae. The record is from Rfam by way of RNAcentral.
GUGGUGGCUCAGUGGUAGAGCACUUGCCUAGCAUGUGCAAGGCACUGGGUUCGAUUCUCAGCAUCACA